This 24-nucleotide microRNA is filed under the name Glycine max (soybean). RNAcentral describes it as "gma-miR4357". Lineage: Eukaryota; Viridiplantae; Streptophyta; Magnoliopsida; Fabales; Fabaceae. The record is from miRBase by way of RNAcentral.
CAGUCGUGUGAUUGUACGGUUCAU